RNAcentral lists this ribosomal RNA (499 nucleotides) under uncultured bacterium. Its description in RNAcentral is "partial 16S ribosomal RNA". It matches the Rfam family "Bacterial small subunit ribosomal RNA", at positions 28 to 507 of the family's 1533-position model. The record is from RNAcentral.
GACGAACGCUGGCGGCGUGCCUAAUACAUGCAAGUCGAGCGGACUGAAUGGGAGCUUGCUCUUGUUCGGUCAGCGGCGGACGGGUGAGUAACACGUGGGCAACCUGCCCGCAAGACCGGGAUAACUCCGGGAAACCGGAGCUAAUACCGGAUAACACCGAAGACCGCAUGGUCUUUGGUUGAAAGGCGGCGCAAGCUGCCACUUGCGGAUGGGCCCGCGGCGCAUUAGCUAGUUGGUGAGGUAACGGCUCACCAAGGCGACGAUGCGUAGCCGGCCUGAGGGGGUGACCGGCCACCCUGGGACUGAGACACGGCCCAGACUCCUACGGGAGGCAGCAGUAGGGAAUCUUCCGCAAUAGGCGAAAGCCUGACGGAGCGACGCCGCGGGAGCGAAGAAGGCCUUCGGGUCGUAAAGCUCUGUUGUGAGGGACGAAGGAGCGCCGUUUGAAGAAGGCGGCGCGGUGACGGUACCUCACGAGGAAGCCCCGGCUAACUACGUG